UGUUUUUGCAGUAACUUUAAUUUUUCAAAUGAAAUCUUUGUUGGGACCAAAAUGAAUGGAUGUGAUGAGCAGACCCCUGAGGCACAGGAAGCAGCUAUGGCUUGAGAAGAGCACUCUGCUGCUUGUACACUGCUGGAGCAUCCUGUAUUGAGACAGAGAUAAAUGAGCCUGCUUUGCCCACAAGCCGCCUUCCACACCUGCGUUUGCUACGUCAAGCUACGGUCUCAUUGCUACUGUCUCAUGUCUCCAAAUAGGAAGGCAUCACACUAA
RNAcentral lists this long non-coding RNA (270 nucleotides) under Fukomys damarensis (Damara mole-rat). RNAcentral describes it as "lncRNA (ENSFDAG00000023671.1)". Lineage: Eukaryota; Metazoa; Chordata; Mammalia; Rodentia; Bathyergidae. The record is from RNAcentral.